GAUGAACGCUGGCGGCGUGCCUAAUACAUGCGAGUCGAGCGAACAGACGAGGAGCUUGCUCCUCUGACGUUAGCGGCGGACGGGUGAGUAACACGUGGAUAACCUACCUAUAAGACUGGGAUAACUUCGGGAAACCGGAGCUAAUACCGGAUAAUAUAUUGAACCGCAUGGUUCAAUAGUGAAGGACGGUUUUGCUGUCACUUAUAGAUGGAUCCGUGCCGCAUUAGCUAGUUGGUAAGGUAACGGCUUACCAAGGCAACGAUGCGUAGCCGACCUGAGAGGGUGAUCGGCCACACUGGAACUGAGACACGGUCCAGACUCCUACGGGAGGCAGCAGUAGGGAAUCUUCCGCAAUGGGCGAAAGCUUGACGGAGCAACGCCGCGUGAGUGAUGAAGGUCUUCGGAUCGUAAAACUCUGUUAUUAGGGAAGAACAAAUGUGUAAGUAACUAUGCACGUCUUGACGGUACCUAAUCAGAAAGCCACGGCUAACUACGUG
This 497-nucleotide ribosomal RNA is filed under the name uncultured bacterium. Its description in RNAcentral is "partial 16S ribosomal RNA". It matches the Rfam family "Bacterial small subunit ribosomal RNA", at positions 28 to 507 of the family's 1533-position model. The record is from RNAcentral.